This 253-nucleotide ribosomal RNA is filed under the name uncultured bacterium. RNAcentral describes it as "partial 16S ribosomal RNA". It matches the Rfam family "Bacterial small subunit ribosomal RNA", at positions 524 to 776 of the family's 1533-position model. The record is from RNAcentral.
UACGUAGGUGGCAAGCGUUGUCCGGAUUUAUUGGGCGUAAAGAGCUCGUAGGCGGUUUGUCGCGUCGGCCGUGAAAUCUCCACGCUUAACGUGGAGCGUGCGGUCGAUACGGGCAGACUUGAGUUCGGUAGGGGAGACUGGAAUUCCUGGUGUAGCGGUGAAAUGCGCAGAUAUCAGGAGGAACACCGGUGGCGAAGGCGGGUCUCUGGGCCGAUACUGACGCUGAGGAGCGAAAGCGUGGGGAGCGAACAGG